Molecule: long non-coding RNA, 636 nt
Organism: Phaethon lepturus (White-tailed tropicbird)
Lineage: Eukaryota; Metazoa; Chordata; Aves; Phaethontiformes; Phaethontidae
Exons: 3
Source: RefSeq, a predicted model, not a curated record
GUGAAAUUAAAACAGAUUAUGGACCUUUACUGCACACGCUGGCUGAGUUUGGAUGGCUCCUGACCUGUGUCCUGCCUACACCUAUUGUACGACACGACAGUGAAGGGAAUCUGGCCACAAAGCAAGUUGUUUUUCUUCAGAGACCCGUUUUGUGGAAUUCUGCUGUCCAGACACCAGAGAGGAAAUCCUUAAGGCAAGUUAUUGGGGAGGAAAAAGGCAAAGUCUCUAGCAGAAGUAUCGGAUUAGACACAGCUACUUCUUGCCCUGUAGAAAUUGGACAACCACCUGAUGAGUUUCACCUAUCUCCUUCUAAACAAUGUUGGAUCAAGGAGGGAUCUUCCCAGUAUGGAGGCUUGCCAGGAUUCAGUAGCAGUGAUGGAGUAUUAAGAGAACUGGAUGACGGACAAUUUGAUCAGGAAGAUGGAGUCACUCAGGUCACAUGUAUGUGAUAAAGUAAGUAACAGCAUCAGAUGGACGUGUACAUAAUUCACAAAAAUGUUUUAAAAAGGGGAAAAAAAAAAUCAUACUACUUUAAAUGUAUUGGUAUAAUCCUAUGAGUUUUCCCAGACUCCUUUUGUAUUUUUGUGUGUUUCUUUGUUGUGUUAAUCCUACUGUAGUAAUAAUACUACUGCAAAA